RNAcentral lists this ribosomal RNA (402 nucleotides) under uncultured bacterium. RNAcentral's name for it is "bacterial SSU rRNA". It matches the Rfam family "Bacterial small subunit ribosomal RNA", at positions 355 to 774 of the family's 1533-position model. The record is from RNAcentral.
UCGGGAAUUUUGGGCAAUGGGCGAAAGCCUGACCCAGCAACGCCGCGUGAGGGAUGAAGUAUUUCGGUAUGUAAACCUCGAAAGAAUGGGAAGAAUAAAUGACGGUACCAUUUAUAAGCUCCGGCUAACUACGUGCCAGCAGCCGCGGUAAUACGUAGGGAGCAAGCGUUGUUCGGAUUUACUGGGCGUAAAGGGCGCGUAGGCGGCGCGGUAAGUCACUUGUGAAAUCUCUGAGCUUAACUCAGAACGGCCAAGUGAUACUGCUGUGCUAGAGUGCGGAAGAGGCAACCGGAAUUCUUGGUGUAGCAGUGAAAUGCGUAGAUAUCAAGAGGAACACCUGAGGCGAAGGCGGGUUGCUGGGCCGACACUGACGCUGAUGCGCGAAAGCCAGGGGAGCAAACG